RNAcentral lists this ribosomal RNA (383 nucleotides) under uncultured eukaryote. Its description in RNAcentral is "partial 18S ribosomal RNA". It matches the Rfam family "Eukaryotic small subunit ribosomal RNA", at positions 592 to 976 of the family's 1831-position model. The record is from RNAcentral.
CAAUAGCGUAUAUUAAAGUUGUUGCAGUUAAAAAGCUCGUAGUUGGAUUUCUGGUGGGAGCGAUCGGUCUGGCGCUUAGCGCGAGUACUUGCAUCGUCUCCGGCCAUCCUUGGGGAGGGUCUGUCUGGCAUUAGGUUGUCGGGCAGAGGAUCUUCAUCGUUUACUGUGAAAAAAUUAGAGUGUUCAAAGCAGGCUUAUGCCGUUGAAUAUAUUAGCAUGGAAUAAUAAGAUAGGACUUUGGUACUAUUUUGUUGGUUUGCGCACCAAAGUAAUGAUUAAUAGGGACAGUUGGGGGUAUUCGUAUUCCGUUGUCAGAGGUGAAAUUCUUGGAUUUACGGAAGACGAACUACUGCGAAAGCAUUUACCAAGGAUGUUUUCAUUAA